This 1758-nucleotide long non-coding RNA is filed under the name Anser cygnoides (Swan goose). Its description in RNAcentral is "lncRNA (ENSACDG00005001120.1)". Lineage: Eukaryota; Metazoa; Chordata; Aves; Anseriformes; Anatidae. The record is from RNAcentral.
CAAGUUUUAGCCUUCAAACCCACAAAUCGCAGCAUCAAGUACCACAUAAGUCUUCAAUAUUGGGCAGUGGGUAGAACCUGAUGUUUUUGCUUGUUUAACAUUUGCUGCACUGCUGUAUCUUUAAAAUGCUGCAACAGCUACUUAAUUUCUCCAGUAUUACAUUGGUUGAGCUUUUAUUUAUUUAUUUAUUUAUUUGGGAGGUAUUAAUUUAUUUUGAAGAGGUUAUUGUUUUUUAUUACUAAUGAUAUCUAUAUUUCUUCUUCUUCUUUACAUGGUGGAAGGUGUGCCACACCUCAGCGGCACAGCACUAACUCUGGGCACCUGCCCUGGCUGUGUCACAGCAGACAGAACAUUGGAGGUGUCUGUGUCACAAAGAGUGGCAUGGGCUGCCCAGGAUGGGUAUAAGAAGGGCUGCUGGCAGUGCUGACGUCAGAAGAGCAGCUGGGCCACUCAUUAUUCCAGCAAAAUGAACUUCCUUACAAGACAGACAAAUGGAGCGUACUGUGAAGUUACGUGCAAGGACCUGUGGUUUUCCAGAUAAGGAACAUACUGCACGACAGCCAGGUGACCUACAUUUACAGCUGAAGACAAAAAGCCAAGCCAACAGGGAAUUGCAUCUAACAUACAGACACAGAAGGGGGGCUACUCAGAUGGACCAUGCUUUUUAAAAGGGAAACCUGAGCAGGAGCAGCUGCAUGGGGACAGUUUUUCCUGCUGCCAUACAUAAGAAACAAACCAGAUCAAUACUUAAUUUCCAAGGAUUACCUUUGAUUGACAAUACCCAUUUUGUAAGUGCCUGUCCCAUUGCUGUCCUGGGUCCUAGCAAAGGAACUGACUGCUCCAAGAUACGUCUUCUGUUCAGAACUAAAAGAUUUUUGCUCUAUUUACAAUUUUAAGGCAAGUCUUUUUUCAUAAAUACUAGACUUGCCUGUUUAGAGGUUUGACAUUUUAUUGACAGCCAUACAAGUUAGAUUAUGCAGAUGGAACAGACGCUGCCAUUUUUAGGUAUAAUUAACAUUUCAUUUCCUUUCAAACAAUUUCCCCCAUCAUGUUCAGCACUAUCCGGGCAAUGGGAACGUUCAAAAGAACACUCCACUGCAGGUUUGUGUUAUUUAAAAACAACAACAAAACACAAACAAACAAACAAACAAAACUAGAAACCACACAGCUUAUUUUUUGAACUCAAGAACUGAAGUUUUUUUUUUUCUUUAAUAUCGAUGUUCUACCAUUGAGUUAAUACCAGGUAAAUUUAAAUAUUUUAAUAUAUUUUUUAGCUUUAAAUAUCUUUUUAGUAUUUAAAUAUCUUUUCAGUGAGUUAAUACCAAGUAACUUUAAAUAUUUUAAUAUUUAAAUAUCUUUUUUUAGUUUUGUUUCAUUUAAUUUCUCUCACAGACUUAAAAGUCAUCUUAUUUUUUUCUUGAAGAAGAGUAAGAAAGGAGACCAUGAAUCUCCCUGACGUUUGCACAAACAACCGGGUUUGCAUUCCCAUCAACCCAACACCUUGCUGUGUACGUACAGGAGCCCUGUUACAGUCCUUGUGAGCUUCUGAGGUGUGUAAAAGAGGAGAUGAAUCUCAUUAGACUUGAGUCAGGCUGCAGGGGUAUUUUACUGGGCUGCUAAGGAGAUGGAUGAGGUCCAGCAGUGUGUCACAUCUAUCCCAAAUGCGGACAGAAGAUGACACUUUCUUGUCAAGAAGAUACCUGGACCAUUACGGUGCUUUCCCAAUUACCACAGGGCCCUCUGAAGGCAAUAUAUAUA